AUGCGGUUCUGAGCCACAGGGGAGGGACUCCUGCCGUCACUUCCCCAGCAGAAUGGUUGGGCCCGCUGUGUGGUCCCUUCACCUGCCUGGACCAAGGAGAACCUAGGAAAUCUUCCAAGUUCAUGAAUGAGGCAAGGUGGGAGAGAUCACAGAGGAUGCCGGGGCACUCUCUGUCAACUGUGGGAGGAAGCCAGGAGAAGGGUCUGUGAAGCCACAAUGCGAGGUCAGCAGCCUGCAGCCCAGAAGAGGAGCUUCAUCAGAGCCCGGCCAGGCUGGCCCCCUGAUCCCGGGCUGUCAGCCCCGAGAACGGUUUGCAAAGAGGUAACUUGGCACAGAAAGGAGGAAGUGGAUGGGCCUCAGCGCUCCCUCAUGUAUUCAUUAA
Long non-coding RNA from Ochotona princeps (American pika), 382 nucleotides. RefSeq lists it as uncharacterized. The transcript is spliced from 3 exons. Lineage: Eukaryota; Metazoa; Chordata; Mammalia; Lagomorpha; Ochotonidae. The record is from RefSeq and is a predicted model, not a curated record.